This 468-nucleotide ribosomal RNA is filed under the name uncultured bacterium. RNAcentral describes it as "partial 16S ribosomal RNA". It matches the Rfam family "Bacterial small subunit ribosomal RNA", at positions 28 to 507 of the family's 1533-position model. The record is from RNAcentral.
GACGAACGCUGGCGGCGUGCUUAACACAUGCAGGUCGAACGGAAAGGCCCUGCUUUUGUGGGGUGCUCGAGUGGCGAACGGGUGAGUAACACGUGAGUAACCUGCCCUUGACUUUGGGAUAACUUCAGGAAACUGGGGCUAAUACCGGAUAGGAGCUCCUGCUGCAUGGUGGGGGUUGGAAAGUUUCGGCGGUUGGGGAGGGACUCGCGGCUUAUCAGCUUGUUGGUGGGGUAGUGGCUUACCAAGGCUUUGACGGGUAGCCGGCCUGAGAGGGUGACCGGCCACAUUGGGACUGAGAUACGGCCCAGACUCCUACGGGAGGCAGCAGUGGGGAAUAUUGCACAAUGGGCGGAAGCCUGAUGCAGCAACGCCGCGUGCGGGAUGACGGCCUUCGGGUUGUAAACCGCUUUCGCCUGUGACGAAGCGUGAGUGACGGUAAUGGGUAAAGAAGCACCGGCUAACUACGUG